Molecule: ribosomal RNA, 256 nt
Filed under: uncultured bacterium
Lineage: Bacteria
Description: partial 16S ribosomal RNA
Rfam family: Bacterial small subunit ribosomal RNA
Source: RNAcentral
UACGUAGGUGACCAGCGUUGUCCGGAUUUACUGGGCGUAAAGAGCGCGCAGGCGGUCGUUCAAGUCGAGUGUGAAAGCCCCCGGCUCAACUGGGGAGGGUCAUUCGAUACUGAUCGACUUGAAGGCAGGGAGAGGGAAGUGGAAUGCCCGGUGUAGUGGUGAAAUGCGUAGAUAUCGGGAGGAACACCAGUGGCGAAGGCGACUUCCUGGCCUGUUCUUGACGCUGAGGCGCGAAAAGCUAGGGGAGCAAACGGGG